GCUGUGUUGGUCUAACGGUUAUGAUGGAACCUUCCCAAGGAAGUUAGGUUUCGAACGGGGUUCGACUCCCCGACACAGCA
Molecule: non-coding RNA, 80 nt
Organism: Serendipita sp. 401
Lineage: Eukaryota; Fungi; Basidiomycota; Agaricomycetes; Sebacinales; Serendipitaceae
Source: the annotation of a GenBank genome assembly